RNAcentral lists this ribosomal RNA (800 nucleotides) under uncultured bacterium. Its description in RNAcentral is "bacterial SSU rRNA". It matches the Rfam family "Bacterial small subunit ribosomal RNA", at positions 202 to 1018 of the family's 1533-position model. The record is from RNAcentral.
AAAACUCGCGGGGCGCGAGGAGGGGGCUGCGGCCCAUCAGGUAGUUGGUGGGGUAACGGCUCACCAAGCCGACGACGGGUAGGGGGCCUGAGAGGGUGGUCCCCCACACUGGGACUGACAGACGGCCCAGACUCCUACGGGAGGCAGCAGUAAGGGAUAUUGCGCAAUGGGCGAAAGCCUGACGCAGCAACGCCGCGUGGAGGAUGACGGCCUUCGGGUUGUAAACUCCUUUGGACAGAGACGAGGAAGGACGGUAUCUGUCAAACAAGUCACGGCUAACUACGUGCCAGCAGCCGCGGUAAAACGUAGGUGGCAAGCGUUAUCCGGAUUUACUGGGCGUAAAGCGUGUGCAGGCGGGGGACCAAGUGGUGUAUGAAACCGCCCGGCUCAACCGGGCGCGGGUAGGCCAGACUGGUCUUCUGGAGGAGGCGAGAGGGACGUGGAAUUCCGGGUGUAGUGGUGAAAUGCGUAGAGAUCCGGAGGAACCCCCGAGGCGAAGGCGGCGUCCUGGCGCCCUCCUGACGCUCAGACACGACAGCAUGGGGAGCGAACGGGAUUAGAAACCCCGGUAGUCCAUGCCGUAAACGAUGGCGACUAGGCGCUGGCGGUCUCAACCCCGCCGGUGCCGCAGCCAACGCGUUAAGUCGCCCGCCUGGGGAGUACGGUCGCAAGGCUAAAACUCAAAGGAAUUGACGGGGGCCCGCACAAGCAGCGGAGCGUGUGGUUUAAUUCGAGGCUACACGAAGAACCUUACCAGGGUUUGACAUGCUGGUGGUAGGAAUGUGAAAGCUGACCGACCC